CAGUAGCCGCGGGAAUACGUAGGUGGCAAGCGUUGUCCGGAAUUAUUGGGCGUAAAGGGCUCGCAGGCGGUUUCUUAAGUCUGAUGUGAAAGCCCCCGGCUCAACCGGGGAGGGUCAUUGGAAACUGGGAAACUUGAGUGCAGAAGAGGAGAGUGGAAUUCCACGUGUAGCGGUGAAAUGCGUAGAGAUGUGGAGGAACACCAGUGGCGAAGGCGACUCUCUGGUCUGUAACUGACGCUGAGGAGCGAAAGCGUGGGGAGCGAACAGGAUUAGAUACCCGUGUAGUCCCUGUCUCUUAUAC
This 301-nucleotide ribosomal RNA is filed under the name uncultured bacterium. RNAcentral's name for it is "partial 16S ribosomal RNA". It matches the Rfam family "Bacterial small subunit ribosomal RNA", at positions 509 to 807 of the family's 1533-position model. The record is from RNAcentral.